AGGACGAACGCUGGCGGCGCGCUUAACACAUGCAAGUCGUACGGAGCCACCCUUUCGGGGGUGGUUCAGUGGCGAACGGGUGCGUAACACGUGAGCAACCUGCCUGCCGGUGGGGGAUAACCCGGGGAAACCCGGGCUAAUACCGCAUUCGCUCUAUCUCUCGAUUGGGGGAAUGAGGAAAGGUGCUGCAAGGCACUGCCGGCAGAGGGGCUCGCGGCGUAUCAGCUAGCUGGUGGGGUAACGGCCUACCAGGGCAACGACGCGUAGCCGAUCUGAGAGGAUGAUCGGCCACAUUGGGACUGAGAUACGGCCCAGACUCCUACGGGAGGCAGCAGGUAGGGAAUCUUGCGCAAGUGGGGCGAAAAGCCUGACGCGACGCGACGCCGGCGGUGGGGAGGAAGUCGUUUUCGGAGUAGUAAACCUUCGU
RNAcentral lists this ribosomal RNA (427 nucleotides) under uncultured soil bacterium. Its description in RNAcentral is "bacterial SSU rRNA". It matches the Rfam family "Bacterial small subunit ribosomal RNA", at positions 26 to 436 of the family's 1533-position model. The record is from RNAcentral.